GUCUCCGUGGCGUAGCUGGCUAGCGCAUACGGCUGUUAACUAGCUGAAACCGUAAGGUCGUCAGUUCGAUCCUGACCGGGGACG
Molecule: transfer RNA, 84 nt
Organism: Aspergillus ustus
Lineage: Eukaryota; Fungi; Ascomycota; Eurotiomycetes; Eurotiales; Aspergillaceae
Rfam family: tRNA
About the family: Transfer RNA (tRNA) molecules are approximately 80 nucleotides in length. Their secondary structure includes four short double-helical elements and three loops (D, anti-codon, and T loops).
Source: Rfam